UACGGGGGGGGCAAGCGUUGUUCGGAAUUACUGGGCGUAAAGGGCUCGUAGGCGGUUUCUUAAGUCUGAUGUGAAAGCCCCACAGCUCAACUGUGGAGGGUCAUUGGAAACUGGGGAACUUGAGUGCAGAAGAGGAGAGUGGAAUUCCACGUGUAGCGGUGAAAUGCGUAGAUAUGUGGAGGAACACCAGUGGCGAAGGCGAGUCUCUGGACGACUCCUGACACUGAGGCACGAAAGCUAGGGGAGCAAACAGG
This 254-nucleotide ribosomal RNA is filed under the name uncultured bacterium. RNAcentral describes it as "partial 16S ribosomal RNA". It matches the Rfam family "Bacterial small subunit ribosomal RNA", at positions 524 to 776 of the family's 1533-position model. The record is from RNAcentral.